Long non-coding RNA from Myotis lucifugus (little brown bat), 311 nucleotides. RefSeq lists it as uncharacterized. The transcript has 2 exons. Lineage: Eukaryota; Metazoa; Chordata; Mammalia; Chiroptera; Vespertilionidae. The record is from RefSeq and is a predicted model, not a curated record.
AGGUGACCCUUGUGAAAGGGUUGUUCGACCCCAAAGGGGUCGCGACCCACAGGUUGAGAACUGCUGCCAUAGAUGGACAUAUCCUGAAAAUGUAUAGGAAUCAAGAAGAAAGACGGGAGAACCCUCUACACAGCGGCUUGCACGCUCUGAGGGAGUCGGUGCAAUUUCUGGGAUGAACACAGCCCUGAUCUGCAGUGAGGAGACUUUAUCAAGCAAUCUGCUGUGCAGAGCGUUAAUAGGACAUUUUCCUGUCCUCCAGCCCUGGCUCAGAGGUGCUGCCAAUUCCAGAUAAAAGCGCUGGAGUAAUCUCA